Molecule: ribosomal RNA, 233 nt
Filed under: uncultured bacterium
Lineage: Bacteria
Description: partial 16S ribosomal RNA
Rfam family: Bacterial small subunit ribosomal RNA
Source: RNAcentral
CGGGACGGGUGAGUAAUGUCCGGGAAACUGCCUGAUGGAGGGGGAUAACUGCUGGAAACGGUAGCUAAUACCGCAUAACGUCGCAAGACCAAAGAGGGGGACCUUCGGGCCUCUUGCCAUCGGAUGUGCCCAGAUGGGAUUAGCUAGUAGGUGGGGUAACGGCUCACCUAGGCGACGAUCCCUAGCUGGUCUGAGAGGAUGACCAGCCACACUGGAACUGAGACACGGUCCAG